UACAUGGGGUGCAACCGUUGCUCGGAAUUAUUGGGCGUAAAGCGCGCGUAGGCGGUUACUUAAGUCGGAUGUGAAAGCCCUCGGCUUAACUGAGGAAGUGCACCCGAAACUGAGUAGCUAGAGUACUAAAGAGGGUCGCGGAAUUCCCGGUGUAGAGGUGAAAUUCGUAGAUAUCGGGAGGAACACCGGUGGCGAAGGCGGCGACCUGGGUAGAGACUGACGCUGAGGCGCGAAAGCGUGGGGAGCAAACAGG
RNAcentral lists this ribosomal RNA (253 nucleotides) under uncultured bacterium. Its description in RNAcentral is "partial 16S ribosomal RNA". It matches the Rfam family "Bacterial small subunit ribosomal RNA", at positions 524 to 776 of the family's 1533-position model. The record is from RNAcentral.